AUUGAACGCUGGCGGAAUGCUUUACACAUGCAAGUCGAACGGCAGCACGGACUUCGGUCUGGUGGCGAGUGGCGAACGGGUGAGUAAUACAUCGGAACGUGCCCAAUCGUGGGGGAUAACGUAGCGAAAGCUACGCUAAUACCGCGUACGAUCUAAGGAUGAAAGCGGGUGAUCGCAAGACCUCGCGCGAUUGGAGCGGCCGAUGGCAGAUUAGGUAGUUGGUAGGGUAAAGGCCUACCAAGCCGACGAUCUGUAGCUGGUCUGAGAGGAUGAUCAGCCACACUGGGACUGAGACACGGCCCAGACUCCUACGGGAGGCAGCAGUGGGGAAUUUUGGACAAUGGACGCAAGUCUGAUCCAGCCAUUCCGCGUGCAGGAUGAAGGCCCUCGGGUUGUAAACUGCUUUUGUACAGAACGAAAAGGCUCUGGUUAAUACCUAGGGCUCAUGACGGUACUGUAAGAAUAAGCACCGGCUAACUACGUGCCAGCCGCCGCAGUAA
RNAcentral lists this ribosomal RNA (500 nucleotides) under uncultured bacterium. RNAcentral's name for it is "partial 16S ribosomal RNA". It matches the Rfam family "Bacterial small subunit ribosomal RNA", at positions 30 to 523 of the family's 1533-position model. The record is from RNAcentral.